Non-coding RNA from Monodelphis domestica (gray short-tailed opossum), 596 nucleotides. The record is from RefSeq and is a predicted model, not a curated record. Lineage: Eukaryota; Metazoa; Chordata; Mammalia; Didelphimorphia; Didelphidae.
ACUAUUAGCUUUGAACCAACUCAAACCCUACAGGAGAGUUGAGGAUUCCAUAUAAUCCUGGGGAAUUGUAUUGCUGGAAAUGACAAGUCUAGUUCCAUUUCACAGAAGUCCAAGAUACAAGGUGGGACUAAUUCAGAAGAACUCUAGAACCCUGGUAGAAAAAGUGGAGGCUGGAGAAGAAUCUGCUAACUGGACCUGAGACACGAUUAGGGUUGCCUCAAUCCACAGCGACAGUGGGUGACAACUGAAAAUAAUAUCAAUGCUGGAUGAAAGUGGUCCCAGUGGCAGCCCUCAAUGGAUAGUCUUGCCAAGUGUAAGUGGGAAGGCCAAUUAGGCACAAAAGCUAUAGAAUCUCCCUGUCCUGGUUUCAUGGAAGUAUUCUCUACCUACCGAAAGCUGCACAUCGGGUCUUUUCUCCAGUAGCAUCAUGCCUUCACUGGGCAGGCCGAAGGAUUUCACUUGAUGAUGGUGCAAUCCAGUACACACUGUGGACUGAAGAAGGCAGUUCCUGAAUAUCAGCUACCACGCUGUUACUGCCUGGAUUGAACGUGACAGGGAUGACCAUUUGAUCUGCCGUCUCCAGAUGCCAACCUAUC